Molecule: ribosomal RNA, 451 nt
Filed under: uncultured bacterium
Lineage: Bacteria
Description: bacterial SSU rRNA
Rfam family: Bacterial small subunit ribosomal RNA
Source: RNAcentral
AACGAACGCUGGCGGCAUGCCUAACACAUGCAAGUCGAACGAAGUCUUCGGACUUAGUGGCGCACGGGUGCGUAACGCGUGGGAAUCUGCCCUUGGGUGCGGAAUAACUUCUCGAAAGGGAUGCUAAUACCGCAUAAUGUCGUAAGACCAAAGAUUUAUCGCCCAAGGAUGAGCCCGCGUAAGAUUAGCUAGUUGGUGGGGUAAAAGCCUACCAAGGCGACGAUCUUUAGCUGGUCUGAGAGGAUGAUCAGCCACACUGGGACUGAGACACGGCCCAGACUCCUACGGGAGGCAGCAGUGGGGAAUAUUGGACAAUGGGCGAAAGCCUGAUCCAGCAAUGCCGCGUGAGUGAUGAAGGCCCUAGGGUUGUAAAGCUCUUUUACCUAGGGAUGAUAAUGACAGUACCUGGAGAAUAAGCUCCGGCUAACUCCGUGCCAGCAGCCGCGGUAAU